RNAcentral lists this ribosomal RNA (497 nucleotides) under uncultured Caryophanales bacterium. RNAcentral's name for it is "bacterial SSU rRNA". It matches the Rfam family "Bacterial small subunit ribosomal RNA", at positions 35 to 507 of the family's 1533-position model. The record is from RNAcentral. Lineage: Bacteria; Bacillati; Bacillota; Bacilli; Caryophanales.
ACACGGCUGGCGGCAUGCCUAAUACAUGCAAGUCGAGCGAACAGAUGAGGAGCUUGCUCCUCUCUCUGUUAGCGGCGAAUGGGUGAGUAACACGUGGGCAACCUGCCCUGUAGUUGGGGAUAACUCCGGGAAACCGGGGCUAAUACCGAAUAAUCAAUUCUUUCGCAUGAAAGAGUUUUGAAAGACGGCUUCGGCUGUCGCUAUAGGAUGGGCCCGCGGCGCAUUAGCUAGUUGGUAAGGUAACGGCUUACCAAGGCGACGAUGCGUAGCCGACCUGAGAGGGUGAUCGGCCACACUGGGACUGAGACACGGCCCAGACUCCUACGGGAGGCAGCAGUAGGGAAUCAUCCACAAUGGACGAAAGUCUGAUGGUGCAAUGCCGCGUGAGUGAAGAAGGUUUUCGGAUCGUAAAGCUCUGUUGUGAGGGAAGAACAAGUACAAGAGUAACUGCUUGUACCUUGACGGUACCUCAUUAGAAAGCCACGGCUAACUACGUG